GACGAACGCUGGCGGCGUGCUUAACACAUGCAAGUCGAACGGAAAGGCCCUGCUUUUGUGGGGUGCUCGAGUGGCGAACGGGUGAGUAACACGUGAGUAACCUGCCCUUGACUUUGGGAUAACUUCAGGAAACUGGGGCUAAUACCGGAUAGGAGCUCCUGCUGCAUGGUGGGGGUUGGAAAGUUUCGGCGGUUGGGGAUGGACUCGCGGCUUAUCAGCUUGUUGGUGGGGUAGUGGCUUACCAAGGCUUUGACGGGUAGCCGGCCUGAGAGGGUGACCGACCACAUUGGGACUGAGAUACGGCCCAGACUCCUACGGGAGGCAGCAGUGGGGAAUAUUGCACAAUGGGCGGGAGCCUGAUGCAGCAACGCCGCGUGCGGGAUGACGGCCUUCGGGUUGUAAACCGCUUUCGCCUGUGACGAAGCGUGAGUGACGGUAAUGGGUAAAGAAGCACCGGCUAACUACGUG
RNAcentral lists this ribosomal RNA (468 nucleotides) under uncultured bacterium. RNAcentral's name for it is "partial 16S ribosomal RNA". It matches the Rfam family "Bacterial small subunit ribosomal RNA", at positions 28 to 507 of the family's 1533-position model. The record is from RNAcentral.